This 500-nucleotide ribosomal RNA is filed under the name uncultured bacterium. RNAcentral's name for it is "partial 16S ribosomal RNA". It matches the Rfam family "Bacterial small subunit ribosomal RNA", at positions 30 to 523 of the family's 1533-position model. The record is from RNAcentral.
AUUGAACGCUGGCGGAAUACUUUACACAUGCAAGUCGAACGGCAGCACGGACUUCGGUCUGGUGGCGAGUGGCGAACGGGUGAGUAAUGUAUCGGAACGUGCCCAGUCGUGGGGGAUAACGUAGUGAAAAUUACGCUAAUACCGCAUACGAUCUAUGGAUGAAAGCGGGGGAUCGCAAGACCUCGCGCGAUUGGAGCGGCCGAUAUCAGGUUAGGUAGUUGGUGGGGUAAAGGCCCACCAAGCCAACGAUCUGUAGCUGGUCUGAGAGGACGACCAGCCACACUGGAACUGAGACACGGUCCAGACUCCUACGGGAGGCAGCAGUGGGGAAUUUUGGACAAUGGGCGAAAGCCUGAUCCAGCCAUUCCGCGCGCAGGAUGAAGGCCCUCGGGUUGUAAACUGCUUUUGUACAGAACGAAAAGGUUUCUACUAAUACUAGGAGCUCAUGACGGUACUGUAAGAAUAAGCACCGGCUAACUACGUGCCAGCCGCCGCAGUAA